ACUCCUACGGGAGGCAGCAGUGGGGAAUAUUGCACAAUGGGGGAAACCCUGAUGCAGCCAUGCCGCGUGUGUGAAGAAGGCCUUGGUUGUAAAGCACUUUCAGUAGGGAGGAAGGUAGUGUAGUUAACACCUGCAUUAUUUGACGUUACCUACAGAAGAAGCACCGGCUAACUCCGUGCCAGCAGCCGCGGUAAUACGGAGGGUGCGAGCGUUAAUCGGAAUUACGUGGGCGUAAAGCGCAUGCAGGCGGCCUGUUAAGUCAGAUGUGAAAGCCCGGGGCUUAACCUCGGAAUUGCAUUUGAAACUGGCAGGCUAGAGUCUUGUAGAGGGGUUAGAAUUUCAGGUGUAGCGGUGAAAUGCGUAGAGAUCUGAAGGAAUACCAGUGGCGAAGGCGGCCCCUGGACAAAGACUGA
RNAcentral lists this ribosomal RNA (413 nucleotides) under uncultured bacterium. Its description in RNAcentral is "bacterial SSU rRNA". It matches the Rfam family "Bacterial small subunit ribosomal RNA", at positions 335 to 743 of the family's 1533-position model. The record is from RNAcentral.